Molecule: ribosomal RNA, 252 nt
Filed under: uncultured bacterium
Lineage: Bacteria
Description: partial 16S ribosomal RNA
Rfam family: Bacterial small subunit ribosomal RNA
Source: RNAcentral
UACGAAGGGGGCUAGCGUUGCUCGGAUUACUGGGCGUAAAGGGCUCGUAGGUGGCCAACUAAGUCGGACGUGAAAUCCCUCAGCUUAACUGGGGAACUGCGUCCGAUACUGGAUGGCUUGAGUUUGGGAGAGGGAUGCGGAAUUCCAGGUGUAGCGGUGAAAUGCGUAGAUAUCUGGAGGAACACCGGUGGCGAAGGCGGCAUCCUGGACCAACACUGACACUGAGGAGCGAAAGCCAGGGGAGCAAACGGG